UAUCAGGGCUGGAAAUGUAACAAAUGACACAUGUAUCUGUGUUAUUAAAUGUGUCAGCAGGACAUGCCUGCGUUCUGUGGACUCAAAUUUAGUUAUAAAUAAAUAAAUGAUAAUAAUAAUGAUAAUGCUAAUUAUAAUAAUAACAACAAUAUCAAUAAUAAUACUAAGAAGAAUUAUUAUUUUACCGUUUAUUAUUAUGAUAAUAAUCCCUCUGCCGUUAGAUUUGACCUCUGUGACAGAUAUCUCCAACUCACUUCCAACACCGCCAUUGGCCACUGGAAUUAUGUCGGGAUCCAUAAUACAUGUAAACAUGCUCUUGUGGACGACAUACCUCUCACUCACGACGAAAGAAAAGAAUUGUCUGCUAUGUUUGAGGCCAUUUUGGAUAACAGGAACCGGAAGUGAAAAUUUGGAAUGGAUUGUGGGAUUUAACACUGACGUAAAAGUCUUAACGAUGCGUUAAUUAACGUCAGCAUUAAAACUGUUUCAGCAGCAUAAAGUUAAAGGCUGAUUAAAUUACGCUGCGUUAGGGUUCUUAACGGAGGUAAAGCUUAACGUUAAUGUUAUCUUAACGGUGCUGUGAGCAACCCGGCCCUGGCCUUGUGGAUUCUAAAUUACAGGUCAGAUAUCAGUUAAUGUAAUCGAUCCAGGUCAGAAUUCAAUAAACACCUUGGAUACAGGUUGGUUAUAGUGAACUUUAAGGAUUUCACGUAUUAUAAAUACAUCAAGUGGUCCCAUUGGAAUAAUAUACAAUGUUUCAUGUUCUCUUAUAGAAAUAAACAACUUAACUUGUCACUCAAUAUAUCAAGUUGUGUUGUAUUCAAUUAUAUGCGUAAAAACAUAAUUCCUAAUAGAUCAGGUUAAACAACAUUUUAAGAUUUUAACCCUUAAAUUUUUAUUUGUAUCCGAAAUAAUUCAACAUUUAAAGUAAACUACCCUUAAAUGUUUAUUAGACCAGUGAUCUAACUUCUUGGGAAAGUGUCGACAUCGCGAGUUGAAACAUAGAUGUGGAUGAGUUCGAACUAUGUUAGAUUUCGUGUUUGGUAGCCACAUUACGUCACAAGCGUCAGCAUAAGGCGUAUAGCUUGUAGACGACACAUUGCAUAUUGCAGACACGUGCAAAUCAAGUAUAAAAAUACUUUCGUUCAGAAAAUGUGAACACAACAUAAAGCAUAAGUGUGUUGUGCAAAUGUAAAUCGAAACGUCAGUGUCAGGAUUUAUGACAGUAAUACCCUAUCUCCCGUGUUGCACUAUUUUUUAUAUUGUUAGAUUUUAAUACAAAUUUAUUAUACGUGCGAUUGAUGUUCAAUGUUUACUAGAACGAGGACAUGGGGCGCUAUGCGUCUGAGUUGAUUAUUUCUGGUCUUAGCUGAUGGAACUAAAGAGACUCUAUAACCUAGUUUCCAGGAAAAUGGGGCCGGUAAUUAUUAGAUUUACCUGUUUCGAGUAUAAUAGGAAUCGGUGAGACUUGAUUUACUCGUGUCUUACCUUUCAAAAACGGCGCUUGUCAGGAAAUGGGCAGUUCUGAGGAUUUAGAGGUCGGCAGAUGCGCCAUGAAAGCCGGCGUCAACAUACAUAGCUCUCUUGACAGAUUCGAGGGGGGAAAGUUUCCACCCGGAUAAUAUAAACGAUUACAUGCCUGGGCCGCCACCGCAGUGGCUUAUUUAUUAUUCGUGGAAUAAACCAAAAGGGAUAAGAAAACUGUUGUACAGUUUUCCACGGAAACGGACUCGAGAAUGCCUAAAUAAGUCUUAAGCGUUCGAUGCAACUGAUGCGAAAGGUUCCUUUGUUCUGCAGUCAACUCAGCGUCACGUGGCACAGGAUGGAGACUCGUGACAUGCUCGUGUUUAUCACCUGCUUUACCUUGAUUCACGUGUACGGGCGCAACAUGGCGGCCUCCUACAAGAAAUUCUUCUCGUACAACAAAGUCAAGACAUUACCGAACGGAGUUCCCACCAUGAAAAGCGUGUGGUAUUAGAAAACUAGCAUUUUUUUUGCAGGGAGCGUUCUCAGUAUCGUUCCUUAACAAUGGUUACCUCGAUGUUCAAGUAUGGCCACGACAAUUAAAUACAUAGCAACUGAUAUUUGGUCGUUAUAUGGAACACCCAUAAAUCGUUUUGUUAACCAUUAAACUUGCGUGUAUAUGUGUAUCUUUAUAAUCUUUAAUCUUUGGCAUGGAUGCAUUACAUUAUUCAAUUCGAUAAGCUGUUCAGAAGUAAAUUUAUAGUUAAGGAUGAGUGUGUAUAUUUAUAUUAAAAAAGGCGUCGUGCAUGUUUCUAUAAUUUCUUUCAUUUAAAAUGUCAUACAACUCCC
Long non-coding RNA from Dreissena polymorpha, 2313 nucleotides. RefSeq lists it as uncharacterized. NCBI's taxonomy places the organism in Eukaryota, Metazoa, Mollusca, Bivalvia, Myida, Dreissenidae. The record is from RefSeq and is a predicted model, not a curated record. The transcript has 4 exons.